GCCCAGCCCUAAACUUUGAUAGCUAUAUACACCCGCUAUCCGCCCGGGUACUACGAGCAUCAGCUUAAAACCCAAAGGACUUGGCGGUGCUUUAGACCCACCUAGAGGAGCCUGUUCUAGAACCGAUAACCCCCGUUAAACCUCACCCUCUCUUGUUCCUUCCCGCCUAUAUACCGCCGUCGUCAGCUUACCCUGUGAAGGACUCAAAGUAAGCGGAACCAGUACAACUCAAAACGCCAGGUCGAGGUGUAGCAUAUGAGAGGGGAAGAAAUGGGCUACAUUCUCUGCCUCAGAAUAAACGGAAAAUGUUAUGAAAAAACAUUAGAAGGAGGAUUUAGCAGUAAGCAAAAAAUAGAGUGUUUUGCUGAAACUGGCCCUGAAGCGCGC
RNAcentral lists this ribosomal RNA (387 nucleotides) under Leptatherina wallacei (western hardyhead). Its description in RNAcentral is "partial 12S ribosomal RNA". It matches the Rfam family "Bacterial small subunit ribosomal RNA", at positions 794 to 1384 of the family's 1533-position model. The record is from RNAcentral. Lineage: Eukaryota; Metazoa; Chordata; Actinopteri; Atheriniformes; Atherinidae.